CGGCCUCAAGCAUGGCUUGGUGUUGGGUGCCGUCCCGCCCCGCGCGGGACGCUCCCCAAGGCUAUCGGCGGUGCGGUGCCGGUCCUGAGCGUAGCAGAUCUCGCUGCAGGAUCCGGCGGCCGUGUCCGCCGCGAACGAAACCUCCA
This 146-nucleotide unclassified non-coding RNA is filed under the name uncultured Dothideomycetes. Its description in RNAcentral is "sequence contains ITS2". The record is from RNAcentral. Lineage: Eukaryota; Fungi; Ascomycota; Dothideomycetes.